Molecule: long non-coding RNA, 411 nt
Organism: Oryzias melastigma (Indian medaka)
Lineage: Eukaryota; Metazoa; Chordata; Actinopteri; Beloniformes; Adrianichthyidae
Exons: 2
Source: RefSeq, a predicted model, not a curated record
AAACACGUUUGGCGCUGUCACAGACACAAACCGUCACAGGCCGUGGGGGCAUGAUGCAGCGAGCGCAGUUGGUGCCAGCAUGCCCACUUGGCUUCAAAACGCAGAAAGGGGCCGGACACGCCAGACGGCAUCAGAGUCCACCGCUCAGCGCCACGCCAACACGGAAACCUCUGGAAACAGGAAGCUGACAGACCCCAACGUGGGCACUGUGGGGGGGACGCCAACAGAUGUGGGGUUGUUUCUUCUAAGCUGUGAGGACUGAGGACAAGGUGUCCCCAGGAUGUGGGAAAAAAGCUCCCGAUCAAGGAAAGGUGUGAUUGCAGGUUGUCUGUUGGAACCUCAGGGACAAAAGAGCAGGGCCUCCACCAAAGAGGGGUGAAGAGGUCAAAUAAAACUCUUUUAUCAGCCAAA